UACGGAGGGUGCAAGCGUUAAUCGGAAUUACUGGGCGUAAAGCGUGCGUAGGCGGUUCGUUAAGUCUGUUGUGAAAUCCCCGGGCUCAACCUGGGAACUGCAUUUGUGACUGUAGAGCUGGAGUGCGGCAGAGGGGGAUGGAAUUCCGCGUGUAGCAGUGAAAUGCGUAGAUAUCUGGAGGAACAUCAGUGGCGAAGGCGACACCCUGGACUCAUACUGACACUGAGGUGCGAAAGCGUGGGGAGCAAACAGG
This 253-nucleotide ribosomal RNA is filed under the name uncultured prokaryote. Its description in RNAcentral is "partial 16S ribosomal RNA". It matches the Rfam family "Bacterial small subunit ribosomal RNA", at positions 524 to 776 of the family's 1533-position model. The record is from RNAcentral.